UACGUAGGGGGCGAGCGUUGUCCGGAAUCAUUGGGCGUAAAGCGCGUGUAGGCGGCCCGGUAAGUCCGCUGUGAAAGUCCAGGACUCAACCCUGGGAUGCCGGUGGAUACUGUCGGGCUCGAGUCCGGAAGAGGCGAGUGGAAUUCCUGGUGUAGCGGUGAAAUGCGCAGAUAUCGGGAGGAACACCGAUGGCGAAGGCAGCACUCUGGGCCGGUACUGACGCUGAGGAGCGAAAGCGUGGGGAGCGAACAGG
This 253-nucleotide ribosomal RNA is filed under the name uncultured bacterium. RNAcentral's name for it is "partial 16S ribosomal RNA". It matches the Rfam family "Bacterial small subunit ribosomal RNA", at positions 524 to 776 of the family's 1533-position model. The record is from RNAcentral.